GCAUCCAUGGCUGAAUGGUUAAAGCGCCCAACUCAUAAUUGGCGAAUUCGCGGGUUCAAUGCCUGCUGGAUGCA
Molecule: transfer RNA, 74 nt
Filed under: Ginkgo biloba (maidenhair tree)
Lineage: Eukaryota; Viridiplantae; Streptophyta; Ginkgoopsida; Ginkgoales; Ginkgoaceae
Description: tRNA-Ile
Rfam family: tRNA
About the family: Transfer RNA (tRNA) molecules are approximately 80 nucleotides in length.
Source: RNAcentral